CAAGGAUUCCCCUAGUAACGGCGAGUGAAGCGGGAUGAGCUCAAAUUUGUAAUCUGGCGGCCUCUGGUCGUCCGAGUUGUAGUCUGGAGAAGCGUUUUCCGCGUCGGACCGUGUACAAGUCCCUUGGAACAGGGCGUCGUAGAGGGUGAGAAUCCCGUCUUUGACACGGACUGCCGAUGCUUUGUGAUGCGCUCUCGAAGAGUCGAGUUGUUUGGGAAUGCAGCUCAAAACGGGUGGUAAAUUCCAUCUAAAGCUAAAUAUGGGCGAAAGACCGAUAGCGAACAAGUACCGUGAGGGAAAGAUGAAAAGCACUUUGGAAAGAGAGUUAAACAGUACGUGAAAUUGUUGAAAGGGAAACGCUUGAAGUCAGUCGCGUCUCCUGGGACUCAGCCUUGCUUCUGCUUGGUGUACUUCCUGGGACGACGGGCCAGCAUCGAUUUUGAUCGUCGGAGAAAGGCCUUGGGAACGUGGCACCUUUGGGUGUGUUAUAGCCCUCGGUCGUAUGCGACGGUUGGGAUCGAGGACCGCAGCACGCCUUUUUGGCCGGGGUUCGCCCACGUACGUGCUUAGGAUGCUGGCGUAAUGGCUUUAAGCGACCCGUCUUGAAACCACGGACCACCC
Molecule: ribosomal RNA, 621 nt
Filed under: Gautieria sp. OSC61517
Lineage: Eukaryota; Fungi; Basidiomycota; Agaricomycetes; Gomphales; Gomphaceae
Description: eukaryotic LSU rRNA
Rfam family: Eukaryotic large subunit ribosomal RNA
Source: RNAcentral